This 508-nucleotide ribosomal RNA is filed under the name uncultured bacterium. RNAcentral's name for it is "partial 16S ribosomal RNA". It matches the Rfam family "Bacterial small subunit ribosomal RNA", at positions 30 to 523 of the family's 1533-position model. The record is from RNAcentral.
AUUGAACGCUGGCGGCAUGCCUAACACAUGCAAGUCGAACGGCAGCAUGAAUAGGGGUAACCUUAUUUGAUGGCGAGUGGCGGACAGGUGAGUAAUAUGUAGGAAUCUACCUAGAGGAGGGGGAUAACUUGGGGAAACCCAAGCUAAUACCACAUAAGCCCUACGGGGGAAAGAAGGGGACCGCAAGGCCUUGCGCCUUAUGAUGAGCCUACAUCGGAUUAGCUAGUUGGUGUGGUAAAGGCCUACCAAGGCGACGAUCCGUAGCUGGUCUGAGAGGAUGAUCAGCCACACUGGGACUGAGACACGGCCCAGACUCCUACGGGAGGCAGCAGUGGGGAAUAUUGGACAAUGGGCGAAAGCCUGAUCCAGCAAUGCCGCGUGUGUGAAGAAGGCCUUAGGGUUGUAAAGCACUUUCAGUAGGGAGGAAGGGUGUAACGCUAAUAUCGUUGCACAUUGACGUUACCUACAGAAGAAGCACCGGCUAACUCUGUGCCAGCCGCCGCAGUAA